RNAcentral lists this long non-coding RNA (462 nucleotides) under Pan troglodytes (chimpanzee). Its description in RNAcentral is "lincRNA". The record is from RNAcentral. Lineage: Eukaryota; Metazoa; Chordata; Mammalia; Primates; Hominidae.
GUGACUCGAAGAAGCCUUCCAAAAAGCGUGUGAAAAGGGAGCCCUCCUCUACUACCAAGGUGACUUCAGGGAGCACAUUCAAUGCCAGUGAAGAGAUCACUAUUCACCAUGCAAGGGAGUUCCAGCACCCUCUAUGCCUGGAAUUACCCAUGGCCUGCAGAGAUCCCAAACGCCAUCCCUCACAUAAGAGAGCCCUCAUGAUCUCAAAUCCAGAGAAUACAAGAAGAUAUGCUGUGCACACCAACCAGUGUCGGAGACCUCAUGGCUCCCCGGUAAAGAAGAAGAGGUACCCACAAGAAGAUGACUUCCAUCAUACAGUCUUCAGCAACCUUGAAAGAUUGGACAAGCUUCAGCCCACUCUUGAAGCCUCUGAGGAGUCUCUAGUUCACAAGGACAGAGGAGAUGGAGAGAGGCCAGUCAACGCGAGGGUGGUGCAGGUGGCCCCUCUGAGGUGUGAAUCUA